RNAcentral lists this ribosomal RNA (496 nucleotides) under uncultured bacterium. Its description in RNAcentral is "partial 16S ribosomal RNA". It matches the Rfam family "Bacterial small subunit ribosomal RNA", at positions 29 to 507 of the family's 1533-position model. The record is from RNAcentral.
AUGAACGCUGGCGGCGUGCCUCAUACAUGCAAGUCGAGCGAACAGACGAGGAGCUUGCUCCUCUGACGUUAGCGGCGGACGGGUGAGUAACACGUGGAUAACCUACCUAUAAGACUGGGAUAACUUCGAGAAACCGGAGCUAAUACCGGAUAAUAUAUUGAACCGCAUGGUUCAAUAGUGAAAGACGGUUUUGCUGUCACUUAUAGAUGGAUCCGCGCCGCAUUAGCUAGUUGGUAAGGUAACGGCUUACCAAGGCGACGAUGCGUAGCCGACCUGAGAGGGUGAUCGGCCACACUGGAACUGAGACACGGUCCAGACUCCUACGGGAGGCAGCAGUAGGGAAUCUUCCGCAAUGGGCGAAAGCCUGACGGAGCAACGCCGCGUGAGUGAUGAAGGUCUUCGGAUCGUAAAACUCUGUUAUUAGGGAAGAACAAAUGUGUAAGUAACUAUGCACGUCUUGACGGUACCUAAUCAGAAAGCCACGGCUAACUACGUG